AGCAGCCGCGGUAAUCCCAGCUCCAAUAGCGUAUAUUAAAGUUGUUGCAGUUAAAAAGCUCGUAGUUGAAUUUCGGGGUUAGUAGGUUGGUCGUGCCACUGGUAUGUACUGGCUUUACUGAUCCCUCCUUCUUGUAGAACCGUAAUGCCAUUAACUUGGUGUUGCGGGGAAACAGGACUGUUACUUUGAAAAAAUUGAGUGUUUAAAGCAGGCUAACGCUUGAAUACAUUAGCAUGGAAUAAUGAAAUAGGACGCUCGAUCCUAUUUUGUGGUUUCUAGGAUUUGACGUAAUGAUUAAUAGGGAUAGUUGGGGGCAUUAGUAUUCAAUUGUCAGAGGUGAAAUUCUUGGAUUUAUUGAAGACUAACUACUGCGAAAGCAUUUGCCAAGGAUGUUUUCAUUUAAUCAAGAACGAAAGUUAGGGGACCGAAGACGAUCAGAUACCGUCGUAGUCUUAACCAUAAACUAUGCCGACUAGGGAUCGGGAUGGAUGGUUAAUUUUUUAAUGUACUCAUUCGGCGC
RNAcentral lists this ribosomal RNA (520 nucleotides) under uncultured Glomus. RNAcentral's name for it is "SSU rRNA". It matches the Rfam family "Eukaryotic small subunit ribosomal RNA", at positions 569 to 1086 of the family's 1831-position model. The record is from RNAcentral. Lineage: Eukaryota; Fungi; Glomeromycota; Glomeromycetes; Glomerales; Glomeraceae.